UGCUGUGGGUCGCAGAAGUGCACGUGGCCGUCAAUGCCGGCAGCCGUCAGGAUCAGAUGUUCGCCGGAGAUGGCAUCGGUGGAGGGACCUGUCACAAGGUCGGGCGAUACGCCCUUCAUCACAUUCGGGUUGCCCGCCUUGCCUACGCCGGCAAUCUUGCCGUCCUUGAUACCUACAUCGGCCUUCACUACGCCGAGUUUGGCAUCGAUGAUCGUGACAUUGGUAAUCACCAGGUCAAGACUCCCGGCUGCCGAGGUGCAUUCAUUGGCCAGACCCAUGCCAUCGCGU
This 288-nucleotide small RNA is filed under the name human gut metagenome. RNAcentral describes it as "5' ureB small RNA". It matches the Rfam family "5' ureB small RNA". The record is from RNAcentral.